This 302-nucleotide unclassified non-coding RNA is filed under the name uncultured Reticulascaceae. RNAcentral's name for it is "sequence contains ITS1". The stretch from base 1 to 105 matches the Rfam family "5.8S ribosomal RNA", at positions 50 to 154 of the family's 154-position model. Lineage: Eukaryota; Fungi; Ascomycota; Sordariomycetes; Glomerellales. The record is from RNAcentral.
GAAAUGCGAUAAGUAAUGUGAAUUGCAGAAUUCAGUGAAUCAUCGAAUCUUUGAACGCACAUUGCGCCCGUUAGUAUUCUAGCAGGCAUGCCUGUUCGAGCGUCAUUUCAACCCUCAAGCACUGCUUGGUGUUGGGGCCCUACGGUUUCGUAGACCCCGAAAAUCAGUGGCGGACUCGCUGAAGCCUCCUUUGCGCAGUAUUAUCAUCUCGCACUGGGGCCCGGCGGGCUUUCUUGCCGUAAAACCCUUCAUAACUUAUCAAGGUUGACCUCGGAUCAGGUAGGAAUACCCGCUGAACUUAA